Molecule: transfer RNA, 72 nt
Filed under: bacterium
Lineage: Bacteria
Description: tRNA-Arg
Rfam family: tRNA
About the family: Transfer RNA (tRNA) molecules are approximately 80 nucleotides in length. Their secondary structure includes four short double-helical elements and three loops (D, anti-codon, and T loops). Further hydrogen bonds mediate the characteristic L-shaped molecular structure. tRNAs have two regions of fundamental functional importance: the anti-codon, which is responsible for specific mRNA codon recognition, and the 3' end, to which the tRNAs corresponding amino acid is attached (by aminoacyl-tRNA synthetases). tRNAs cope with the degeneracy of the genetic code in two manners: having more than one tRNA (with a specific anti-codon) for a particular amino acid; and 'wobble' base-pairing, i.e. permitting non-standard base-pairing at the 3rd anti-codon position.
Source: RNAcentral
GCGCCCAUAGUUUAAUGGAUAAAACUGCGGUCUUCGGAACCGUUGAUGGGGGUUCGAUUCCUCCUGGGCGCA